AAAAAAUCUAAAAGAAUAUGAAAAAUUGCCAAAAAUUAAAUCCAUAAAAUAAAAGCUGCUUCAUUUUGAACACUGUGAAAAGAUGAAAACGUAAAAAUGGUUUAUAUAACUGAAACGGUUCAACAAAGCUAACUAGAGUCAACAUAAGCAUUGGUAUUUUAAAUAAUUUGAGUUAAACUUGUUUUUAGUGUUUUACCUUUUAUAAAGAUGUUUAACUUGGUUGACUUGGUUAAUAUUUGUAGUUUUCAGUUUAUUUUCAUUUUUAGCUGAUAGUAACUCUUAAAACAAAUUCAAGUGUCCUUUAAGCCAUUUUAAACUAAAAAUAAUAGAGUUAUCAGAGAUAUACCAAAGUUUAUGUUAUACUUGGCUUAUGCUAAACGUAUUGGUAAGUAUUAGUGGAAAUCUACUUUAAUAUAGGCUAUUUAAGCAUAUUUAAUGAUGUACUUUAGCAGCAGCGGUUGUUCUUUUUAACUUUUAACUAACUCAACAAAUUCAUUGUUUUAACCUAACUGUUGGGUAGAAAACUUAACCUGGUGAGUUGGGUCAAACUGAAACCACUCGGUGUUUGUUUGGAUCCAGAAGUUUUUAAACCUUUGUAGAAGUUUGACUUUUAUCUUAAAUGUUAAGUUUAAAACAGUGGUGGAUCUAAAGGGGGGGCUGCGGGUGGCAGCUGACAUCCCAGCUGCCCCCCUUAUUUGUGGAUUAAUAAAGUCGAUAAAUUGUGAAUAAAACUUUUGUUUGUAUGCAGUUCACUCCUGGAUGUGGAAAUGUUUUCUCCCAUUAACCUGACAGGAAGCGUCCCGCUAACCGAUGCCUCUCUGUCGCUGAACCAUAACUUUAGUCAGUCCUGAGAAACAUGUGAUGAAUUUAUUUAAUGCAAGAUUUUUUUAAAUAAUUGCAGAUUUUUAAUCUUUGAAAUGAGUUUAACACUGUUUAAUCUCAUGGAAACUUUUAAAUGUUUGUUAAAAUGAAACUCAAGUUUUCUGUGUUUGAGGAGAAGCAGCUGAUUGAGAGUCUUAAUAAACUCUGUUCAGUAUUUUGUGUUUGUGUUGUUUGUGUUGUUUGUGUUGUUCUGGACAAAUCAAAUCAAGUCUAAACUUUAAACAAAGUCUGCCUUCGGCCUUUGCCAACCCCAAGAAAAAUAAAAUCUUGCCCCUCCACUGCACCGCUGCAGAAAUUCUAAUCCAGUGUUGAAAUAUUAACAAUAAUAAAAUUACAAGUUUCAACUUUUAAAGCCUGACUUUGAACUUUUAAACCUAAAACCUUUAAGAACAGCCCCAAUCCGAGUGUUUUACAAAAACUAAAAUAAAAAAUAAUCCAAGUCCUGAAGCAUGACUGGACACUUCCAUCCCCAGUCCACCCUUCCAAGUCCCAUCCACGCAGUUAAGCCGUCACUUUCAUUCAAGGUUGUGAAUUAUAUAGUACAUUGUCUACUCCCCAAAACCAUAAAACCAACUUUAUGGACCUCACGUGACUUUUCACAGUCUGUAAGUAAUAUAGGCCUUUACAAUCUUUGGUAAGGGGCUAUUUUUUUACCAACUUCAGCCGCAUAUCCAGCUGAAAAAGCCAAAAGACUCACAUUUUUUAUUAUUGUUCCUCAAGGGGGGAUUAUUUUUAUUUUUUAUCAGCGAGAUGUUUCAUAUUUGGGGGGAAAAGUCACGUCAGAGAGGUCAGAGGAGGUGAUUCAAGACUGACUGAAGACCAGAGGAGACACGAGCAGAAGGGAGGACACGCGCGUGCACCCUCCUCAUUAUCAUCAUCAGCAUCAUCACCUUAACAAGCAGUGAUGGAGUGCGCAAAACCAGAAAACCCCCAAAAGUCUCAGAUCAGCAGUUACUGUCACCCGCUGACCUCCAUAACACGGCAGAAGACGAGCCAUCCGUCUCAGGUUGGAGCUGCGUGUCGCCCCCCUGUGGCUGCGUGUUGUCACUGCACCUGAUCUACGCCGCA
Long non-coding RNA from Austrofundulus limnaeus, 1950 nucleotides. RefSeq lists it as uncharacterized. Lineage: Eukaryota; Metazoa; Chordata; Actinopteri; Cyprinodontiformes; Rivulidae. The record is from RefSeq and is a predicted model, not a curated record. The transcript is spliced from 4 exons.